UUUUACUUUAUAUCAGAAUGCCUAGGACAUAUGUUAAAAUACAGACUCCUGAGGGCUAACCCUGGAUAUUCUGAUUCAUGAAACACAGGUUGAAGUCCAGGAAUCUGCAUUUCAAAUAAGCACCCCAGGUGAUACUAGUAUAGU
Molecule: microRNA precursor, 144 nt
Filed under: Mustela putorius furo (domestic ferret)
Lineage: Eukaryota; Metazoa; Chordata; Mammalia; Carnivora; Mustelidae
Description: miRNA (ENSMPUG00000020433.1)
Source: RNAcentral